UAGGGAAUCUUCCGCAAUGGACGCAAGUCUGACGGAGCAACGCCGCGUGAGUGAAGAAGGAUUUCGGUUCGUAAAACUCUGUUGUUAGAGAAGAACAGCGCAUAGAGUAACUGUUAUGCGUGUGACGGUAUCUAACCAGAAAGCCACGGCUAACUACGUGCCAGCAGCCGCGGUAAUACGUAGGUGGCAAGCGUUGUCCGGAUUUAUUGGGCGUAAAGCGGGCGCAGGCGGUCAAUUAAGUCUGAUGUGAAAGCCCCCGGCUCAACCGGGGAGGGUCAUUGGAAACUGGUUGACUUGAGUGCAGAAGAGGAGAGUGGAAUUCCAUGUGUAGCGGUGAAAUGCGUAGAUAUAUGGAGGAACACCAGUGGCGAAGGCUACUCUCUGGUCUGUAACUGACGCUGAGGCUCGAAAGCGUGGGUAGCAAACAGG
Molecule: ribosomal RNA, 429 nt
Filed under: Bacteroidota bacterium
Lineage: Bacteria; Pseudomonadati; Bacteroidota
Description: Bacteroidetes bacterium partial 16S ribosomal RNA
Rfam family: Bacterial small subunit ribosomal RNA
Source: RNAcentral